GAGCUGAUUCAAUUACACUUGGUUUGCUGGGUCCUCUUCCACGCGUACUGAAACGGCCACGAGGUGCUCCUCUAUCUGAGGAACGGCCACGAGGUGCUCCUCUAUCUGAGGAACGGCCACGAGGUGCUCCUCUAUCUGAGUAACGUCCACGAGGUGCUCUACCAGGUGCUCUGUUUGAGGAACGCCCCUCAUCACUAUCUCUUGGUCUAGACUCUUCCACAUGUAUGUUCCAUCCUCCAAUUUCACUUCCCCUCAGUUGCAACGCCUCAUCGAAUCCACUCGUCAAAUCUAUGUAGGCCAACCUGAAAGAAUAACAAGAAAACUUCAAUGACCAUCUUUAUCAUCAUCAUCAUUAUCAUUCACAACGCAGGAAAGAAAAAAAAAAA
RNAcentral lists this long non-coding RNA (386 nucleotides) under Arabidopsis lyrata. RNAcentral's name for it is "long non-coding RNA (ALYR_LNC002339)". Lineage: Eukaryota; Viridiplantae; Streptophyta; Magnoliopsida; Brassicales; Brassicaceae. The record is from RNAcentral.